CGUCUAAUCGUGCGUGCAAUUCCAGUAGAUUGUGUAAUGAUAAAAAUGAUAUUUAUAAUAACAAUAAUGUAGCGAGAAUUUUUUUCAAAAUGCGAGUGAAAUAUGGAAUCUAAAAGAAAUGUUGCCGACAGGCGUAAAAAUCAGUCAUGCUCGAUUCACGUACACGUAUUGUCGCAAGACUUACAGCUAUACGUACUCUGGCAGUUGAUCAUACCUGUACUGAAAAAUGAAUUCUAAUUUAAUACAAAAUUUCAGUUCACGGUCGAAUGGUGUACGUAAACAUUUGACGACUGUCUGCAAUAUUCUAAUAACGAGAAACUAAAAAUUCUUCACCGUAAAAUUCUUGCUUGUCCAACGAUCAAAUAUUGGUACGAAAGUCGUCCCAUUAAGCACGAAGAAUAUACGUAUGUUCACUUAUUAUUCAUGAGUGUCUGUUAAUAGCGAACAAUUGUAUGCGCCACAAAAUAAGAUGAUGAAAAUUCAUAAGAAUUUUUGGGAGCAAGGAACCGGCUAGAACGUUAUACGUCGUCUUUUUUUGUGUGCAGAUUACUUUUUUCUCAAGUCUUAAGAGAAACGCGAGUGCGGAGGAUGUCUCGAACAAAAGUUGGUUGGUUGGUACAGUUCAGAGUUGGGCAGGAGGUCAGGGAACAAUAAAUAAUAAUCUACAGCUGAGCAGAGCAACGGUACGAGUACAAUGCGAUUCGGGUGAACGACGCGGAACGCUAUGAAAUCCAGGAAGUUGAGCUCACUGGUUCCCGACUUGAAUCCAACGGUAUAUAUCUCUCGGGUCGACGUUGUGACUUGGGACACCUGUCGCGCGAACUAAUUACCUUCUAUCAAAAUCAACAACGCACAUAAUGAACCAAACGUCUCCCGCGAGACCGUGGCACCUUUCUUUUUUCAUUUUCUUCGCGGUAGCAGAAUCGUUCACUUCAUCCAGGUAAAAGUAUAUUUUCAUUCAAUUUUAUUGCAUACUCUUCGGGACUCAAAGUUCGCCCUAAUAAUCACUCAAUUACAAGUCACCGAUUUUUACCAUUGGAACCGAGUGCUCGACAUCGAAGGUUCCCGCUUCGAUCGAACUCUUCUGCAAUGGAUGACCAUCCAUCGAUGGAUCUGAUGUCUUCUCGUUUCAUUGCGUCAUCCGAUGGGAUUGUUACGGGUAUCCGGAGAUAAUGGACAGCCUAAAAUCGGCCACGCCAUGGCCGUAGUGACACAAUUUUCGUCGAGCGGGGUUAUUGAACUUGGAGUACCAUAGUUGCGGUGAUGAAAGACAGCGUAUAUAACCUGGAUCGAAGACUUUGGAACGAGUUCAAACUAAACCGAGACACGGAGCGCACUUAAACCUUAUCGAGUAAAGAGAGAGUUGGAUGAAGUUUGACGCUGCCGCGGGAGCUUCGUGGCUCGAACCUGGUGGCCUACUAUAACUGAACUGACUCCCACCUCCUCGGGGCAAACUCUUUUCCCCAGGGCGUCGAUGAACACGACGACGACGACGUAGACGUCGGAGACGAGUCCUAACACCCUCCUCAGGUCGGAAAAUUUUCCACUACUAGCCGCGUUACAGCAUCCCUAGAAUUGAAAGAAGAGCCCUGAAAGCAGCUAGCUGAGUUUCUGGUCCGAAAGUUUCAGGGUCCAAAACCUCCACGAUCUUUCACAGCG
Athalia rosae (coleseed sawfly) is the source of this 1659-nucleotide long non-coding RNA. RefSeq lists it as uncharacterized. NCBI's taxonomy places the organism in Eukaryota, Metazoa, Arthropoda, Insecta, Hymenoptera, Athaliidae. The transcript is spliced from 3 exons. The record is from RefSeq and is a predicted model, not a curated record.